GGUAUUGAAAUAAGGCUUUGAAUGAGUGCUAAGAGAAUGGUUAAACGAUUAAAAGCUUUCUUUAAUUAAUAAGUUGAAUUUAAUUUUUUUGUGAAGAAGCAAAAAUUUGAAUUAGGGACAAGAAGACCCUAUGAAUUUUAUAUUAAAUUUAUAGAAGAUAUAUUUUUAAGAAUUUAAUUUGAUUGGGGCGAUAGAAAAAGAAUAUAUAUCUUUUUGUAGAGAUUAGUUAAUUUGUUCCGUUAUUAACGAUUAAAUGAGAAAAAUACUCUAGGGAUAACAGCGUAAUAAUUUUGGAUAGUUCAUAUAGAUAAAAUAGUUUGCGACCUCGAUGUUGGAUUAGGAUUC
This 345-nucleotide ribosomal RNA is filed under the name Ixodes angustus. Its description in RNAcentral is "partial 16S ribosomal RNA". Lineage: Eukaryota; Metazoa; Arthropoda; Arachnida; Ixodida; Ixodidae. The record is from RNAcentral.